Molecule: ribozyme, 70 nt
Filed under: Rodentolepis nana
Lineage: Eukaryota; Metazoa; Platyhelminthes; Cestoda; Cyclophyllidea; Hymenolepididae
Description: Hymenolepis nana HDV ribozyme from F. prausnitzii
Rfam family: HDV ribozyme from F. prausnitzii
Source: Rfam by way of RNAcentral
GGUGUGUAAUAGACUUACCUCCACGUGGUGCACACUGGGCAACGUAUAACCAUAUGGCUAAAAGGUUCAU